AAGCACAAUGUACUUGGUGCUUAUAUGUUUUCUAUCAUUACAUCUGCACCUUUGUCCAUUUCUAUCUGUUAGAUUAUACUACUCAACUAACAACCCAUUCAAUUUUAGGGAACUAUUAUCAUCCUAACUGUACAGUCCUUAAUUCAAAGGCCAAAAAUCUACGAGCAUCAAUAACUUGAUACUUUUAAAAGUAUAGGAGCUCAAUUCUAUAUAUAUAGAGAGAGAAAGAGAGAGUACGAUACUCUUAUGAGUACGAUCGCUUUCGUACUCAUAAGUCGUUUUCGAUGAUAAAGUUUCUGAAUCGACGAUUCAUAUCAUUAAAUAUUAUUUAGAGCAUUUAAAACUUCUAGAAAUCAAAUUUUAUAAUUUUUCGGUAUCAUUUACCUUACGAUCAAAAGAUCACAAAAUUGACAAUUUUUAAUGGCCGGUAUAAGAUAUUUGCUAGUUUAACGGUGUAAAAGAAUUGGAAUAGAAUUUUUGAUAGAAAAUUUUAAUUACUAUCUAAAUAAAGAUCAAUAACUCCAAUCUUAUAUUGAAGGAUCAGAUUAUUCAUUUUUAGUACGUCGUACAAUUUUGACGGUUCAUUUUAUGCCCGCUUAAUGGACUUUUUUAUGAUUUCAAAAAAUUACAAAAUUUACUUUUUUAGAAAUUUCAAAUAUUGUAGAUCAUAUUUAACGAAGUGGAUCGUUGAUUCGGAAGAUCCGUUAUCGAAAAAAAUUUAUGAGUACGAAGAGCUCUAUAUAUAUAGUAGCCCUACUCUCUCUCUCUCUUUCUAUAUAUAGAGAGAGAGACUCUCUCGAAUUAUAUAUAUAGAGAGAGAGAGUCCGGCUACUAUUCUCUUAUAAGUACGAUCGGCUUCGUACUCAGAAAUCGUUUUCGAUGAUAGAGCUUCCGAAUUGACGAUCCAUAAUGUUAAACAUUAUCUAGAACAUUUAAAACUUUUAGAUAUCAAAUUUUAUAAUUUUUUGAUAUUAUUUAUCUUACAAUAAAAAAAAUCUCAAAUUAAUAAGUUUUAAUGGUCGAUAUGGGAUAUUUACUAGUUUAACGGUAUAAAAGAAUUAUAAUCAGUUGAAUAGUUGCUAGAAAAUUCUAUUCACUAUCUAGAUAAAGAUCAAUAAGUCUGAUCUUAAACGAUUAUCGAUCCAUUUUUAUGACAUCAUUCAAUUUUGACUAUUCAUCGGAUUGAUGGACUUCAUUAUGAUUUCAAAAAAUUACGAAAUUUAUUUUUUAGAAGUUUCAAAUACUCUAGAUCAUAUUUAACGGAUUGGAUCGUCCAAUUGGAAGCUCCAUCAUUGAAAACAGCUUAUGAGUUCG
RNAcentral lists this long non-coding RNA (1314 nucleotides) under Ananas comosus (pineapple). Its description in RNAcentral is "long non-coding RNA (ACOM_LNC036713)". The record is from RNAcentral. Lineage: Eukaryota; Viridiplantae; Streptophyta; Magnoliopsida; Poales; Bromeliaceae.